This 23-nucleotide small nuclear RNA is filed under the name Arabidopsis thaliana (thale cress). RNAcentral describes it as "snRNA_13573". Lineage: Eukaryota; Viridiplantae; Streptophyta; Magnoliopsida; Brassicales; Brassicaceae. The record is from RNAcentral.
CUUCUUGAUGGAGAUGUCUUUAA